AACGAACGCUGGCGGCGUGUUUAAGACGUGCAAGUCGCACGGGAUAAGACAUGUAGUAAUACUUGUUUUAUUUAGUGGCGCACGGGUGAGUAACACGUGAAUUACAUGCCCUAUAGUGGGGAAUAGCCCAGGGAAACUUGGAUUAAUACCCCAUGGUAUCGAAAGAUUAAAGGUGGCCGCAAGGCUGUCGCUAUAGGAUUGGUUCCCGACCUACCAGCUUGUUGGUGAGGUAACGGCUCACCAAGGCAAUGACGGGUACCUGGUCUGAGAGGACGAUCAGGCACACUGGAACUGAGACACGGUCCAGACACCUACGGGUGGCAGCAGUCGAGAAUAAUUCACAAUGGGGGCAACCCUGAUGGUGCAACGCCGCGUGGAGGAUGACGGUCUUCGGAUUGUAAACUCCUGUCAUCUGGGAGAAAGACCUGACGGUAAAUAGCCGGCAGGGUUGAUAGUACCAGAAGAGGAAGGGACGGCUAACUUCGUGCCAGCAGCCGCCGUAA
This 503-nucleotide ribosomal RNA is filed under the name uncultured bacterium. RNAcentral describes it as "partial 16S ribosomal RNA". It matches the Rfam family "Bacterial small subunit ribosomal RNA", at positions 29 to 523 of the family's 1533-position model. The record is from RNAcentral.